AGGAAGUUUCCUUCGGGAAACGGAUUAGCGGCGGACGGGUGAGUAACACGUGGGUAACCUGCCUCAUAGAGUGGAAUAGCCUUCCGAAAGGAAGAUUAAUACCGCAUAACGUUGAAAGAUGGCAUCAUCAUUCAACCAAAGGAGCAAUCCGCUAUGAGAUGGACCCGCGGCGCAUUAGCUAGUUGGUGGGGUAACGGCCUACCAAGGCGACGAUGCGUAGCCGACCUGAGAGGGUGAUCGGCCACAUUGGGACUGAGACACGGCCCAGACUCCUACGGGAGGCAGCAGUGGGGAAUAUUGCACAAUGGGGGAAACCCUGAUGCAGCAACGCCGCGUGAGUGAUGAAGGUUUUCGGAUCGUAAAGCUCUGUCUUUGGGGAAGAUAAUGACGGUACCCAAGGAGGAAGCCACGGCUAACUACGUGCCAGCAGCCGCGGUAAUACGUAGGUGGCGAGCGUUAUCCGGAUUUACUGGGCGUAAAGGGAGCGUAGGCGGAUGAUUAAGUGGGAUGUGAAAUACCCGGGCUCAACUUGGGUGCUGCAUUCCAAACUGGUUAUCUAGAGUGCAGGAGAGGACAGUGGAAUUCCUAGUGUAGCGGUGAAAUGCGUAGAGAUUAAGAAGAACACCAGUGGCGAAGGCGACUCUCUGGACUGUAACUGACGCUGAGGCUCGAAAGCGUGGGGAGCAAACAGGAUUAGAUACCCUGGGUAGUCCACGCCGUAAACGAUGAAUACUAGGUGUGGGGGUUUCAACACCUCCGUGCCGCCGCUAACGCAUUAAGUAUUCCGCCUGGGGAGUACGGUCGCAAGAUUAAAACUCAAAGGAAUUGACGGGGACCCGCACAAGUAGCGGAGCAUGUGGUUUAAUUCGAAGCAACGCGAAGAACCUUACCUACACUUGACAUCCCUUGCAUUACUCUUAAUCGAGGAAAUCCCUUCGGGGACAAGGUGACAGGUGGUGCAUGGUUGUCGUCAGCUCGUGUCGUGAGAUGUUGGGUUAAGUCCCGCAACGAGCGCAACCCUUGUCGUUAGUUACUACCAUUAAGUUGAGGACUCUAGCGAGACUGCCUGGGUUAACCAGGAGGAAGGUGGGGAUGACGUCAAAUCAUCAUGCCCCUUAUGUGUAGGGCUACACACGUGCUACAAUGGCUGGUACAGAGAGAUGCAAUACCGCGAGGUGGAGCCAAACUUAAAAACCAGUCUCAGUUCGGAUUGUAGGCUGAAACUCGCCUACAUGAAGCUGGAGUUACUAGUAAUCGCGAAUCAGAAUGUCGCGGUGAAUACGUUCCCGGGUCUUGUACACACCGCCCGUCACACCAUGAGAGUUGGCAAUACC
This 1334-nucleotide ribosomal RNA is filed under the name uncultured organism. RNAcentral describes it as "SSU rRNA". It matches the Rfam family "Bacterial small subunit ribosomal RNA", at positions 69 to 1421 of the family's 1533-position model. The record is from RNAcentral.